AUCGCCUCUCAGCCUUUGGCUAAGAUCAAGUGUAGUGUUCUUAUCACUUUACUAUCUGCUAUCUGAGGACAGUAUAUUAAAUGGAUUUUUGGAGCAGAGAGAUGGAAUAGGACCUUGCUCCUUCCACUCCUUGCAUCCACCUGGUAUUGCAGUACCUGCAGGAAUAGUGCACCCACU
Nomascus leucogenys (northern white-cheeked gibbon) is the source of this 177-nucleotide small nuclear RNA. Its record names the gene U2. It matches the Rfam family "U2 spliceosomal RNA". Rfam says of the family: U2 is a small nuclear RNA (snRNA) component of the spliceosome (involved in pre-mRNA splicing). Complementary binding between U2 snRNA (in an area lying towards the 5' end but 3' to hairpin I) and the branchpoint sequence (BPS) of the intron results the bulging out of an unpaired adenosine, on the BPS, which initiates a nucleophilic attack at the intronic 5' splice site, thus starting the first of two transesterification reactions that mediate splicing. Lineage: Eukaryota; Metazoa; Chordata; Mammalia; Primates; Hylobatidae. The record is from Ensembl.